CGUAGGUGGUUCGUUAAGUUGGAUGUGAAAUCCCCGGGCUCAACCUGGGAACUGCAUUCAAAACUGUCGAGCUAGAGUAUGGUAGAGGGUGGUGGAAUUUCCUGUGUAGCGGUGAAAUGCGUAGAUAUAGGAAGGAACACCAGUGGCGAAGGCGACCACCUGGACUGAUACUGACACUGAGGUGCGAAAGCGUGGGGAGCAAACA
This 205-nucleotide ribosomal RNA is filed under the name uncultured bacterium. Its description in RNAcentral is "partial 16S ribosomal RNA". It matches the Rfam family "Bacterial small subunit ribosomal RNA", at positions 570 to 774 of the family's 1533-position model. The record is from RNAcentral.